This is a long non-coding RNA of Hyla sarda, 1398 nucleotides long. RefSeq lists it as uncharacterized. The transcript has 3 exons. Lineage: Eukaryota; Metazoa; Chordata; Amphibia; Anura; Hylidae. The record is from RefSeq and is a predicted model, not a curated record.
ACAAAAAAAAAUACCUGUGCACCAUCCACCACCUACCUGACAGCUCAGAGUACUGUGCACCAUCCACCAGCUACCUGACAGCUCAGAGUACUGUGCACCAUCCACCACCUACCUGACAGCUCAGAGUACUGUGCAUCAGACAAAAAAUACAAAAAAAAUACAAAAAAAUAAAGAAAAGAAAAAAAACCAAAAAAAAACCUGUGCACCAUCCACCACCUACCUGACAGCUUCAAGUACUGUGCACCAUCCACCACCUACCUGACAGCUCAGAGUACUGUGCAUCAGACAAAAAAAAUAAAAAAAAAAAUAAAGAAAAGAAAAAAAAAAAAAAAAAAUCUGUGCACCAUCUACCAGCUACCUGACAGCUGUAAGUACUGUGCACCAUCCACCACCUACCUGACAGCUCAGAGUACUGUGCACCAUCCACCAUCUACCUGACAGCUCGGAGUACUGUGCACCAUCCACCACCUACUUGACAGCUCAGAGUACUAUGCACCAUCCACCACCUACCUAAUAGCUCGGAGUACUGUUAACCAUCCACCUCCUACUUGACAGCUUGGAGUACUGUGCGCCAUCCACCUCCUACUUGACAGCUCGGAGUACUGUGCACCAUCACCAUUCGGCACAACCUCUGAAGCAGUCAGCCUAUUAUUUCCACCUCCCUCCUCCUGAGGAUCAAGCUCUUCUACAGAGCAGGAGCUGCUGAUGCCGCAUAGAUUGUGACUCCAUCUGACACCGCGGCUCAAACCGGCUACUGACAGCCUAAUGCUACUGUACAACUUCUGUACUACUUGUCUACAAAGAGGAGGACAAGAUGCUGCUGGGAAGACUCAAGAGAUGUCUCCUGAAGAUCACCAAGUUCGUUACCACAACGAGAGCUCCCAGAAUGGCGCAGUCAGGUUUCAUCACAAGACAUCAUCUAAAUCAAGAAGAGCAACAGCAGGGCGCCCUCCAGUGGUAAGCCAUACACCAAUCUUCCCAGGUCCACUGCUUAUGCUUGCCUCUCCAGCUAGUAGCCCUGCUUUAGCAGCCUCCAUAGGCCAUGUACUGUCCCAGCAGUGAGUGGUUUCACUAGAUCUAUACCAGACUGUGCUGAGCGGAGUGCGCCUGCUACUGCCCCUGCCAAGCCCACACCCAUGAGGAGCACAUGUAGAGACCCCGCCAUGUAUCUCACUGGACUCUUCUAUUAAUCUGAAGUGCAGCAAACACCUAGCGGUCUGGAAUUCUUCUGGAGAAAACUAUCCUCAAGGGAAAAAGAGGCUUCACCAACUCUCAUAGAAGAACGGAGCCCGGUAUUCCAUGGAUAGAGACAUUCACCAUGACCACCGACACAGUAACCGCACAUCCAUUGUCUGCAUUGGGGUGAGAUGUUGACUUUAUUAGGAAACCAGGGUCGGC